GAUGAACGCUGGCGGCGUGCCUAAUACAUGCAAGUCGAGCGAACGGACGAGAAGCUUGCUUCUCUGAUGUUAGCGGCGGACGGGUGAGUAACACGUGGAUAACCUACCUAUAAGACUGGGAUAACUUCGGGAAACCGGAGCUAAUACCGGAUAAUAUUUUGAACCGCAUGGUUCAAAAGUGAAAGACGGCCUUGCUGUCACUUAUAGAUGGAUCCGCGCUGCAUUAGCUAGUUGGUAAGGUAACGGCUUACCAAGGCAACGAUGCAUAGCCGACCUGAGAGGGUGAUCGGCCACACUGGAACUGAGACACGGUCCAGACUCCUACGGGAGGCAGCAGUAGGGACUCUUCCGCAAUGGGCGAAAGCCUGACGGAGCAACGCCGCGUGAGUGAUGAAGGUCUUCGGAUCGUAAAACUCUGUUAUUAGGGAAGAACAUAUGUGUAAGUAACUGUGCACAUCUUGACGGUACCUAAUCAGAAAGCCACGGCUAACUACGUG
Molecule: ribosomal RNA, 497 nt
Filed under: uncultured bacterium
Lineage: Bacteria
Description: partial 16S ribosomal RNA
Rfam family: Bacterial small subunit ribosomal RNA
Source: RNAcentral